UGGGGAAUAUUGGACAAUGGGCGAAAGCCUGAUCCAGCCAUGCCGCGUGUGUGAUGAAGGCCUUAGGGUUGUAAAGCACUUUUGUCCGGGAAGAUAAUGACUGUACCGGAAGAAUAAGCCCCGGCUAACUUCGUGCCAGCAGCCGCGGUAAUACGAAGGGGGCUAGCGUUGCUCGGAAUCACUGGGCGUAAAGGGCGCGUAGGCGGACUCUUAAGUCGGGGGUGAAAGCCCAGGGCUCAACCCUGGAAUUGCCUUCGAUACUGAGAGUCUUGAGUUCGGAAGAGGUUGGUGGAACUGCGAGUGUAGAGGUGAAAUUCGUAGAUAUUCGCAAGAACACCAGUGGCGAAGGCGGCCAACUGGUCCGAUACUGACGCUGAGGCGCGAAAGCGUGGGGAGCAAACA
Molecule: ribosomal RNA, 402 nt
Filed under: Brucella melitensis
Lineage: Bacteria; Pseudomonadati; Pseudomonadota; Alphaproteobacteria; Hyphomicrobiales; Brucellaceae
Also listed under: 2 other names
Description: partial 16S ribosomal RNA
Rfam family: Bacterial small subunit ribosomal RNA
Source: RNAcentral